This 497-nucleotide ribosomal RNA is filed under the name uncultured bacterium. RNAcentral describes it as "partial 16S ribosomal RNA". It matches the Rfam family "Bacterial small subunit ribosomal RNA", at positions 28 to 507 of the family's 1533-position model. The record is from RNAcentral.
GAUGAACGCUGGCGGCGUGCCUAAUACAUGCAAGUCGAGCGAACAGAUAAGGAGCUUGCUCCUUUGACGUUAGCGGCGGACGGGUGAGUAACACGUGGGUAACCUACCUAUAAGACUGGAAUAACUCCGGGAAACCGGUGCUAAUGCCGGAUAACAUGUUGAACCGCAUGGUUCUACAGUGAAAGGCGGCUUUGCUGUCACUUAUAGAUGGACCCGCGCCGUAUUAGCUAGUUGGUGAGGUAACGGCUCACCAAGGCAACGAUACGUAGCCGACCUGAGAGGGUGAUCGGCCACACUGGAACUGAGACACGGUCCAGACUCCUACGGGAGGCAGCAGUAGGGAAUAUUGCGCAAUGGGCGAAAGCCUGACGGAGCAACGCCGCGUGAGUGAUGAAGGUCUUCGGAUCGUAAAACUCUGUUAUUAGGGAAGAACAAAUGCGUAAGUAACUGUGCGCGUCCUGACGGUACCUAAUCAGAAAGCCACGGCUAACUACGUG